Molecule: ribosomal RNA, 795 nt
Filed under: uncultured bacterium
Lineage: Bacteria
Description: bacterial SSU rRNA
Rfam family: Bacterial small subunit ribosomal RNA
Source: RNAcentral
AGAGUUUGAUCAUGGCUCAGGAUGAACGCUAGCGGCAGGCUUAAUACAUGCAAGUCGAGGGGUAACAUGGGUAGCAAUACCUGAUGACGACCGGCAAACGGGUGCGGAACACGUACGCAACCUUCCCAUAACUGGUGAAUAGCCCUCCGAAAGGAGGAUUAAUACACCGUAACAUAAUGAAGUGGCAUCACUUUAUUAUUAUAGUAGCAAUACGGUUUUGGAUGGGCGUGCGCCUGAUUAGGUAGUUGGCGGGGUAACGGCCCACCAAGCCUACGAUCAGUAACUGGUGUGAGAGCACGACCAGUCGCACGGGCACUGAGACACGGGCCCGACUCCUACGGGAGGCAGCAGUAAGGAAUAUUGGUCAAUGGACGAAAGUCUGAACCAGCCAUGCCGCGUGAAGGAUGAAGGCCCUCUGGGUUGUAAACUUCUUUUAUAGGGGACGAAAAAAGCUCAUUCUUGAGCACUUGACGGUACCCUAGGAAUAAGCACCGGCUAACUCCGUGCCAGCAGCCGCGGUAAUACGGAGGGUGCAAGCGUUAUCCGGAUUUACUGGGUUUAAAGGGUGCGUAGGUGGGCAGUUAAGUCAGCGGUGAAAUCUCUGGGCUUAACCCAGAAACUGCCAUUGAUACUAUCUGUCUUGAAUAUCCUGGAGGUGAGCGGAAUAUGUCAUGUAGCGGUGAAAUGCUUAGAUAUGACAUAGAACACCAAUUGCGAAGGCAGCUCACUACGGGGUUAUUGACACUGAGGCACGAAAGCGUGGGGAUCAAACAGGAUUAGAUACCCUAGUAGUCC